UUUUAAACUUUUUAUAAAAAAUUGGACUGUGCUGCUGGUGGAAAUAGAAAUCAGUGCAACAUUUCUAGCAAGAAAUCUGAUAAAAUGUGUGGCAAACUUUAAGCAUGCUCCUACACUGGCAAUUCUACUUCUUAAAAUUUAUUAUAAGGGUAUAAUUACAAAUAUUUUAUACAGUUUAGCUAACAGAUGUCAUUGCUGCAACAUUGUUUAUAAUGGCAAAAAUUGGAAAAAUAACCAUAAUGUCCAAUGAAAUUGGGCUGAUCAAAGUAAACUGAGCUAUUUCACAUAAUGAAAUACGGAAAAAAAUACUUGAAACAGCAACGAGAGUGAGAGCUCACUGAAUGUCAGUUAUGAAUAUUACUCUUAUUUGGCCAGUCAUAGAAAAUUAAAAUUUUGAUGAGUAUUAAUUGAUUCAGAAAGAUGUUUUGGGGACAGGUAGAUGAAAAAAAAAUAUUCUUGGCUAAAAAAUCAUCCUUGGGACAANACUUUCAUGUUUUCAGCAUGAGAUCUUGAGUUGAGCUCUUUGGACCAAGCAGAAAUAAAAAAUUAGGGCACUGAUAUUCCUGCCCCAGCUUCAGAAAAAAUGAAUCAUCAUGACAGAGAGUCUAAUGGAUGAAUUCUAAUUUUUUAAUCCUACCUCCCAUGCCCAUUUCUAAAAAUCCAGGAAUUGUCCUACAUGGGAUUCAGUAACCCUCCCAAUUUGUCUUACCAAGAAAGAAGAACACCCCCUCCAUGCGCUAGAAAGCUACUAGUGUUGUCACAACUGUUUAAAUUCUAUUAGGGUUCUAAGUCUUAGUCAUUCACUUUAAUUAAUUCAAACAGCACCCUUUGUGAGGGAAUUCAAAUGUAAUUUUCCUUUCCAUGAUUAUGUGACCUGUUUCUUCUGUAGUACCAGCCACCACCCUUGCUUCCUCCUCUUAAUGCCCUUUGGGAAAGAUAUUGGACUUUCCAGCUCCCUGGUCUGUAGGCAUAUUAUCACCUACCUCAUAAAGUGGUUAAGAAGAUUAAAUGGGCUAAAGCAUAUCCUUUAAAAUCUGUUUUCCCAUUACCGAUUAUCAGUUAUUUUGACAUUGAGAAAACUCACAAGUGAAUUAUCAUCUAGGAGGGAUUCCUUGCCUUUUUUUUUUUUUUUUCUGUUUAAGUCUCUCUUCCAUUUGUAUUUCUGCUUUUUAAAUAAUGUCAAAAUACACACCUAUCAGAAACCAGAGGCUACCAAACACAACUUGCAAAAUCUUUCCUCCAUACAUACAUUAACAAUAUAUUAACAAUCCCCUGGGACCCUAGUCUUUUUUUUUUUUUUUGCUUUUGAGGCCACACACUCAGCAUAUGGAAGUUCCCACAGUAGGGGAUGAAUCGGAGCUACAGCUGCCGGCCACAGCCACAGCCACAGCAACAUCAGAUACAAGCUGUGUCUGCAACCUACACCACAGCUCACGGCAGCACCAGAUCCUUAACCCACUGAGCGAGGCCAGGGAUUGAACCCAAAACCUCAUAAUUUCUUGUCGGAUUUGCUUCCGCUGCGCCACAAUGAGAACUCCGACCCUGGUCCAUUCUAAGCAGAGUCUUUAGCAGCCGGUUGAAGCAGGGAGAGCUGGUCAAAGAAAUAAAGGGAAGAGAACGGAACUUGUGCGUUUUCAAUUUUGGCAUGUGCUCAUCUUCAGAGUGGUCUCCUCAGUGCCCCCCAGCUCAGCUCUAUCUCCUCACAUGCUCCUGUUUGGAAUCCUGCUGCAAAACCCAAUCUUCAGGGUGAUAUAUCAAUAUGAUCCCUCAAGAGAGGCAGUCUCACUUUCUUUUGAAAUGUUUGUUCUUCCUACUUCAGUUCCUUUUGUCCUAUUAUGUCCCAAAUUUUUAAACAUGUACAAGCAUUUUUUCCCUACAAGCUAAACUUGUGUUUCUCAAGGAGAAAUCUAUGGACUGGUUCCAUCAAGGUCACCCAAGGGAGAGGGUCCAGAGGAGGCCUCAGAUUUCUGAGCUCCAUAUCAGACCUAAGGAAUCCAAAUCCAGUGCUUAGGAAUUUGCACUUCUAAAGGAAGCCAGGUGACACUAAUGCUCACUAAAUCCUGAGAACUAUAGUCCGAGGAGCUGACAGACAGCGAUGCUCACGGGACAGGAAUUUGUGAGCAAUGCCUCAUUGCAAUGGAACUUGAAAACACCCUCAAAACUCAAAGAGGUCUGUGAGGUUGCCCCAGAGGCCAAAGGGCCAGGUAGCAGCUAUGAAGUAGUGUAGUAUGCUGGGAGCUAUUCCUACCAGAAGUGGGAAAGGCUAUAGACAGGCUAAUAUCUGUAAUUUAAUCUGGUAGAGAAAGGGCUUUGUUUUUGUUUUAAUUUCAUAUUAAAAAUGUGAAUGAUUUUAACAGUAGUAAUGAACACUGAGAUCUGUAUAUUAAUCUCCUGGGCAUAUGCACCUGCCUUUCGAACCAGGUAAUUAUACCUAAUAUUUGCAUGUUUGCCUAUUAAAAGUAAUUAAAAACAACUAAAUUUUUUCUAUUGAUAAAAAAUGAAAGAAAAACUAAAAAUACUUCCUACUAGUUAAGGGUACUUACAGUUCAGAAAGUGGCAUGGUGGUUUUAAUGACAAUGACGUAGUAGAAAUGGGGCUGAGAGGCAGAAGUGUCACAGCAAAGGUGAGACAAGUUAACAUAUGUAGAGCAUGGACAACUUUCCAGGCUAGGCUUUGAAGAUGUGCAUGUUUCAGCCUAUCUUGUGAGUCAUACAAUCAGUCUUAUAAUCAGGGAGAGAAGGACCUCUGGCACUGCCACACAGUCAGUAAGUGGCAUGGGCAGAACCCACAUGGCCUGGUUUCAGAGUCCACUCUCUUACCUCAGUGACUCAUUGAUCACCUCCUCCACAGGAGACUCCUCAUCUAGAAUAUGCAGAUAUGAUAUAUUAUCUGCCUAACAGGCUGUUGUAAUAUUCCAUUGUAUGUAUGUACCACAUCUUCUUUAUCCAUUCUUUAGUCAAUGGACAUUUAGGUUGCUUCCAUGUCUUGGCUAUUGCAAAUGGUGCUGCAAUGGACAUUGUGGUGCUGUUUCUUUUCGAAUUAUGGUUUUCUCUGGAUAUAUGCUCAGGAGCGGGAUUUCUGGAUCACAUGGUAGUUCUAUAUUUAGUUUUUAAGAAACUUUCAUACUGUCCUCCAUAGUGGUUGCACCAGUUUAUGCUCCCACACCAUUGGGGGGGGGUGAAUUAAAGGGGAUGGGAGUAACAUAUACACACUACUGUAUAAAGUAAAUAAUUAACAAGUAUCUACUCUACAGCACAGGGAAAUAUACCCAAUAGUUUGUAAGAACCCAUAUGGGAAAAAUUGUGUAUAUAUGUAUAUGUGUACCUGAGUCACUUUGCUGCACACCUAAAACCAAUAUAAGAUUAUAAGCCAUUGUACUCCAAUAAUUUUUUUAAAAAGACUAUUGUGAGAAUCAAUAUAUGAAAAUCCUUUAAAAGAAUGUCUAUCAUAGUAGUACCACAUAUAAGUCCACUAUCUUUCAUUAUUGUCAAUAUUAAUAAUUAUUUAUGACCAAAAUAAUUAGGACUGAUGCAACUAUAAUAACUUACAUAUAAUAGUAAUUACAGGAAUAUUUAUUGAUGGUCACACCCCAUUGGACAGAAAUAUAAAAAAACAUAGGCAGAAUAAUGAAUGCCUUUUAUGAGGGUUAAGUGGGAUGUUCCUUAAAAUGUGUUCUUCCAGAUGCCUUAUAUCAGAAGCAUCUGGAAUGCUUGUCAAAAAUAAAGUAAAAGAGAGAUAGAGACUCUGAGCCCCAACAGGGAUGCAUUAUGGUGAGAUCCCCAAAUCUGUUUAUUUAGCAAAGGCCCUAAGUGCUUCUUCUAUACACUAACAAUUGAGAUUCCCUGACAGACAAAAUUAAAACAUGGAGGGACAGAAGAAAAAUCAGCUGUCAGACAACCUCCAUAUUUCUCUGCAUGUAUCUUAAAAAAAAUCUUAAAGCACAUAUAGCUAGUCUUUCCAGGUUUCUGGUUUCUGUCAUAAGACUAAAUGAUUUUUGACAUGAUAAAGUUUGCACUUAUAACAUAAUUAAAUAAUUUCCAUACCAUUGUGUUCUAUUAGGACUGGAUUAAUCCAAGCAAUAAAAAUACAAUAAUAACGGUGAUGGAUGAUGUCGGAUAAAGAUGGAUGAUGAUGAUAAUUAUGAGGUGCUUGAUGUUUCACAUCAAAAUGAUACAGUCCUAUUUUCAUUAACUUUGUGCUAAACUAUGGUGACAAGAGUGACUUGCAAACGUUUUUCAACAGCAAUUCUGGGGUAAGUCCAAAUGAUCUGUUGUAUUUAGUAUGUUCUUUUGUAUAGCGCUACCCACCUUUGUUGGUAUCUCUAUAGUAGGACUUUGUAGCUUAAGAAUUACAGCUUUAAGCUGUAUGUUAAAAUACUUCGACAUUGAUAAUCAUUGAAAAAUUGUAAAAAGUCUGAUAAAUGGAUGGAAUAAAACACUCCAAAAGUAUACCCACUAUAAAAUUAAGUUCCCAACUUAUAGGGUAUUCCGUUUUCAAGUAUGAUGAGAUGUCUAAUGGAAAUUAUAUAUCCUAAUACCUCUUCCAGUUUCACCUGAUUAUUACCACUUCCCCAAAUCAACCAUCAAGUGUCAAGGAAGAAAAUAUUUCCAGUCUUUGUAGCAUAAAAGCAAACAAUGCUCUCACAAUCCGCAAUUCCAAAUAUUUAUAACAAAGAGGGAAAUAGUUGGUAAUGAUGUUCAGAGAGAAUAAUUUGAUUCCACCUGCCAAAGAAUUGCCAAAGGAAGUGACCAGCUCAUAAAUAUGACACUAUGCAUGUAUCUACCGAGUCUCAGCUGUGUCAUACUUUGAGGACUGUCCAGAAAGCAAUGCUUUCUAAGGAGACAGCUAGAAAGGAACCUGGAUGUGUGCCCUCCCUUUCCUUCCCUUUGCAUAAAUAUCUCCACCAGUGCCAGAAGAGGAAAACAGGAGGGCAAGCACAAAGGCUUUUUUCUUUUCUUUCACUAUCUACCUAACAGCUGCUUGGUUUUCACUGACAGCCACUGGACGUAGCCCACAAGAAAUGCACCCACGACUCUGUAACUGAUGAUGACAAAGUAUAAAAAUGAGCAUAUUCAGAUAUUUCUCUUCACAAGGGAAAAAUAAAUAGCCAAUACUUUAAAAGUCCAUUUCGCUUAAGCCAAGAUUUUGAUGGCAGUUUAUUUGGGUAGGCAAAUCUUUCUCAUAUUAUCCCCAACUCUAAGUUGAAUACUACAUAUCGAAUAAACAUGGCCAUUUUGUGUUCAUUUUUCUAAGUGAAACUUGGAAUUUCUUAUAGAAGCCUUCCUUUUCCUUGGUAACUGCUGCCACAUAAAGAAUUUGUUGGAAGAGGAAGGUAGAAAGGGAGAGCGAGCCAGAUAGAGGUAAAGGAAGAAAAAAAGCACACAAAUAUAGAAAGAGUAACUGGAGCCCCCAUGCCAGAGGAAGCAAAGGAAGUUUCCUAAUUAUAAAUGUAACUAAACAUUACCUCUCGGGAGUUCCUGGCAUGGCUCAGUGGUUAAGGAACCUGACUGGUAUCCAGGAGGAUGCGGGUUCCAUCCCUGGCCUUGCUCCGUGGGUUAAAGAUCUGGCAUUGUGUGAGCUGUGGUGUAGGUCACAGAUGUGGCUUGGAUCUGGCAGAGCUGUGGCUGUGGCAUAGGCCAGCAGCUGAAGCUCGGAUUCAGCCCCCAUCCUGGGAACCUCCAUAUACCAUGAGUGCAGCCCUGAAAAAAGACCAAAAAAAAAAAAAAAAAAAAAAAAA
RNAcentral lists this long non-coding RNA (5737 nucleotides) under Sus scrofa (pig). RNAcentral describes it as "lncRNA (ENSSSCG00060042892.1)". The record is from RNAcentral. Lineage: Eukaryota; Metazoa; Chordata; Mammalia; Artiodactyla; Suidae.